GGGCCCGCACAAGCAGUGGAGCAUGUGGUUUAAUUCGAUGCAACGCGCAGAACCUUACCUAGGCUAGAAGUGCAGUGGACAACUCCUGAAAGGGAGCUUCUCGUAAGAGUCGCUGUAUAGGUGCUGCAUGGCUGUCGUCAGCUCGUGCCGUGAGGUGUUGGGUUAAGUCCCGCAACGAGCGCAACCCUUAUCAUUAGUUGCCAGCAUUUCGGAUGGGGAAUCUAAUGAGACUGCCCAGGUUAACUGGGAGGAAGGUGAGGAUGACGUCAAGUCCGCAUGGCCUUUAUGUCUAGGGCUACACACGUGCUACAAUGGUCGGUACAGAAGGCAGCAAGACCGCGAGGUGGAGCAAAUCCCUAAAGCCGAUCCCAGUUCGGAUAGUAGUCUGCAACUCGACUACUUGAAGUUGGAAUUGCUAGUAA
This 422-nucleotide ribosomal RNA is filed under the name uncultured bacterium. RNAcentral's name for it is "bacterial SSU rRNA". It matches the Rfam family "Bacterial small subunit ribosomal RNA", at positions 917 to 1341 of the family's 1533-position model. The record is from RNAcentral.